RNAcentral lists this transfer RNA (85 nucleotides) under Felis catus (domestic cat). It matches the Rfam family "tRNA". Rfam says of the family: Transfer RNA (tRNA) molecules are approximately 80 nucleotides in length. Their secondary structure includes four short double-helical elements and three loops (D, anti-codon, and T loops). Further hydrogen bonds mediate the characteristic L-shaped molecular structure. tRNAs have two regions of fundamental functional importance: the anti-codon, which is responsible for specific mRNA codon recognition, and the 3' end, to which the tRNAs corresponding amino acid is attached (by aminoacyl-tRNA synthetases). tRNAs cope with the degeneracy of the genetic code in two manners: having more than one tRNA (with a specific anti-codon) for a particular amino acid; and 'wobble' base-pairing, i.e. permitting non-standard base-pairing at the 3rd anti-codon position. Lineage: Eukaryota; Metazoa; Chordata; Mammalia; Carnivora; Felidae. The record is from Rfam by way of RNAcentral. RNAcentral also lists the same sequence under 2 other names.
ACCUGGGUGGCUCAGCAGGUUAAGCAUCUGUCUUUGGCUCAGGUCAUGAUCUCGUAGUUCAUGGGUUUGAGCCCCAUUUCAGGCU